GCGGUGGCGGCGGCGGUGGCGGCGGCGGCGGUGAGGGCGACAAGGAUGGAGUUCCUGAUGCAGCCUCUGCACGGAUCGACUUUCCUUGAAGAGGUUGGGGAGAGUUUGGUGCCGGCACCGGUGGCGGCGGACGGGGUCGAUGCGGAGAUGGUGGUGGAGCAUCCACUGGCAGCGCAGGGGACGGAUGGACAACAGGCGCCGGCUGAGGAGCAGCCGGCAGGUACAAGGGAGGCGCAGAUCUUGAUGGAGACUGAGGCAGCGCAGGAGAGGAGGGACGUGUCACCACCUAGCUCGGAGCUAUCUACAGGGAAGAUGAGCCCCACGAGCUCCUGGUUGGAAUAAGAGGUUAAGGAUUGGUGCUGCUGCACCAAGUCGACCGCCUUGCCCAAACCGUGUAAGUGCAUUUGAGAAGGCUGUUCGAAACUAUGCGGAGAAUCCAAGAGACAAUGUGGUCACACCGACUAUCGGCACGACAUUUGACUCAGUUGGAGAGGCGUAUGACUUCUACAAUUUGUAUUCAUGGGAAAAGGGAUUUGGGAUCAGAUAUGGCAAGAGUCGGCUUAAUGCGGAGAGGAUUAAAUGCAUGCAAGAAAUAGUCUGUGGCUGCUCGGUGACCACCUUGUCUAUGCAGUCGGGGCAGGGGAUCAGCGGAAGCACUGCCUCCUGCUGCGAGGAAGAAGAAGAAGACGCCAUGGUCGCCGGUCUGCUCGGUCCAACAGGAAGACAAGAUGAUAAGGUUGGAGGGAC
Triticum dicoccoides is the source of this 747-nucleotide long non-coding RNA. RefSeq lists it as uncharacterized. Lineage: Eukaryota; Viridiplantae; Streptophyta; Magnoliopsida; Poales; Poaceae. The record is from RefSeq and is a predicted model, not a curated record. The transcript is spliced from 4 exons.